AUGAAAAGAACUUUGAAAAGAGAGUUAAAGAGUACCUGAAAUUGCUGAAAUGGAAGCAAAGGAAACCAGUGUUAUUUUGCAUCAUUUUUCUCCUGCUGCUUGCAACAGGGGCGCUGUGGUGUAAGGUAGGCCAGCAUGGGUUUGAAUCGGGGCAAAAGCUUUUGCUACCCUGGUUUGGACUGAGGUUAGCUCGUGUGAUGCUGGCAAAAUGGUUUUCUUUACCCCGUCUUGAAACACGGACCAAGGAGUCUAACAUAUGUGCGAGUAUAGGAGUGGCAAACUCCCAUGCGCAAUGAAAGUAACAGUGGUGUUAUCAACAUCCGCCGGCCACAAUCCUUCGGGAGAAAGGUCUGAGUGUGAGCAUACAUGUUGGGACCCGAAAGAUGGUGAACUAUGCCUGAAUAGGGUGAAGCCAGGGGAAACUCUGGUGGAGGCUCGUAUGCGGUUCUGACGUGCAAAUCGAUCGUCAAAUUUGGGUAUAGGGGCGAAAGACUAAUCGAACCAUACUAGUAGCUGGUUCCCUCCGAAAUUUCCCUCAGGAUAGCUGCAAUCAUUAGUAUCUUUAUCA
This 568-nucleotide ribosomal RNA is filed under the name Chaetoceros cf. decipiens 1 SEH-2013. Its description in RNAcentral is "eukaryotic LSU rRNA". It matches the Rfam family "Eukaryotic large subunit ribosomal RNA", at positions 364 to 1006 of the family's 3401-position model. The record is from RNAcentral. Lineage: Eukaryota; Bacillariophyta; Thalassiosirophyceae; Chaetocerotales; Chaetocerotaceae.